RNAcentral lists this unclassified non-coding RNA (254 nucleotides) under uncultured Acidimicrobiia bacterium. RNAcentral's name for it is "contains 16S-23S intergenic spacer region". It matches the Rfam family "Bacterial small subunit ribosomal RNA", at positions 524 to 776 of the family's 1533-position model. The record is from RNAcentral. Lineage: Bacteria; Bacillati; Actinomycetota; Acidimicrobiia.
CACGUAGGGGGCAAGCGUUGUCCGGAUUUAUUGGGCGUAAAGAGCUCGUAGGCGGCUCGGUAAGUCGGGUGUGAAAACUCAGGGCUCAACCCUGAGACGCCACCCGAUACUGCUGUGGCUAGAGUCCGGUAGGGGAGCGUGGAAUUCCUGGUGUAGCGGUGAAAUGCGCAGAUAUCAGGAGGAACACCAGCGGCGAAGGCGGCGCUCUGGGCCGGAACUGACGCUGAGGAGCGAAAGCGUGGGGAGCAAACAGG